AUUUUCCGGUUGAUCCUGCCGGAGGUUACUGCUAUCGAGGUUCGACUAAGCCAUGCGAGUCGAACGUCCCAAUACAUGGCGUACUGCUCGGUAACACGUGGACAACCUGCCGUUAGGUUGGGUACAAACCCGGGAAACUGGGUAUAAUCCCGUAUAAGUCUCGGCUGCUGGAAUGCACCGAGAUUAAAAGCUCCGGCGCCUAAGGAUGGGUCUGCGGCCUAUCAAGUAUGAUUGGGUGUAGCGUACCUACUAAUCUAGGAGGGGGACAGGUUGUGAGAGCAAGAGCCCGGAGAUGGAUUCUGAGACGCGAAUCCGGGCCCUACGGGGUGCACCGAGAGCGAAAACUUUACAAUGCUGGGAACAGCGAUCAGGGAACCUCGAGUGCGAGGAUACAAAUCUGGCUGUCGAGAUGCCUAAAAAGCAUUUCAUAGCAAGGGCCGGGCAAGACCGGUGCCAGCCGCCGCGGUAACACCGGCGGCUCGAGUGGUAACCGUUAUUAUUGGGUCUAAAGGGUCUGUAGCCGGCCGGAUAAGUCUCUUGAGAAAUCUGGCAGCUUAACUGUCAGGCUUUCAGGAGAUACUGUCUGGCUCGAGGCCGGGAGAGGUGAGAGGUACUUCAGGGGUAGGGGUGAAAUCUUGUAAUCCUUGAAGGACCACCAGUGGCGAAGGCGUCUCACCAGAACGGACCUGACGGCAAGGGACGAAAGCUAGGGGCACGAACCGGAUUAGAUACCCGGGUAGUCCUAGCCGUAAACGAUACUCGCUAGGUGUCGGCCACGGUGCGAGCCGUUGUCGGUGCCGUAGGGAAGCCGUGAAGCCAGCCACCUGGGAAGUACGGCCGCAAGGCUGAAACUUAAAGGAAUUGGCGGGGGAGCACCACAACGGGUGGAGCUUGCGGUUUAAUUGGAUUCAACGCCGGAAAU
Molecule: ribosomal RNA, 922 nt
Filed under: uncultured Methanosarcinales archaeon
Lineage: Archaea; Methanobacteriati; Methanobacteriota; Methanomicrobia; Methanosarcinales
Description: bacterial SSU rRNA
Rfam family: Archaeal small subunit ribosomal RNA
Source: RNAcentral